Zalophus californianus (California sea lion) is the source of this 102-nucleotide small nuclear RNA. The record is from Ensembl. NCBI's taxonomy places the organism in Eukaryota, Metazoa, Chordata, Mammalia, Carnivora, Otariidae.
GCUCGCUUCGGCAGCACAUGUACUAAAACUGGAAUGGUACAGAGAUUAGCAUGGUCUCUGCACAAGGAUGACAUGCAAAGUCGUGAAGCAUCCACCGUUUUG